Molecule: ribosomal RNA, 303 nt
Filed under: uncultured bacterium
Lineage: Bacteria
Description: partial 16S ribosomal RNA
Rfam family: Bacterial small subunit ribosomal RNA
Source: RNAcentral
AGCAGAGCCACGGGAACACGUAGGGUGCGAGCGUUAAUCGGAAUUACUGGGCGUAAAGCGUGCGCAGGCGGUUUUGUAAGACAGGCGUGAAAUCCCCGGGCUCAACCUGGGAAUGGCGCUUGUGACUGCAAAGCUAGAGUGCGGCAGAGGGGGAUGGAAUUCCGCGUGUAGCAGUGAAAUGCGUAGAUAUGCGGAGGAACACCGAUGGCGAAGGCAAUCCCCUGGGCCUGCACUGACGUUCAUGCACGAAAGCGUGGGGAGCAAACAGGAUUAGAUACCCCGGUAGUCCCUGUCUCUUAUACA